RNAcentral lists this ribosomal RNA (253 nucleotides) under uncultured bacterium. RNAcentral describes it as "partial 16S ribosomal RNA". It matches the Rfam family "Bacterial small subunit ribosomal RNA", at positions 524 to 776 of the family's 1533-position model. The record is from RNAcentral.
UACGGAGGGUGCAAGCGUUAUCCGGAUUUACUGGGUUUAAAGGGUGCGUAGGCGGCUCUUUAAGUCAGUGGUGAAAGCCUAGUGCUUAACACUAGAACUGCCAUUGAAACUGAAGAGCUUGAAUCAAGGAGAGGUAAGCAGAAUUUAUAGUGUAGCAGUGAAAUGCUUAGAUACUAUAAGGAAUACCAACAGCGAAGGCAGCUUACUGGCCUUGUAUUGACGCUGAGGCACGAAAGCGUGGGGAGCAAACAGG